RNAcentral lists this ribosomal RNA (838 nucleotides) under Pterula sp. DJM944. RNAcentral describes it as "eukaryotic LSU rRNA". It matches the Rfam family "Eukaryotic large subunit ribosomal RNA", at positions 72 to 923 of the family's 3401-position model. RNAcentral also lists the same sequence under 1 other name. Lineage: Eukaryota; Fungi; Basidiomycota; Agaricomycetes; Agaricales; Pterulaceae. The record is from RNAcentral.
GGAUUCCCCUAGUAACUGCGAGUGAAGCGGGAAAAGCUCAAAUUUAAAAUCUGGCAGUCUUCGAUUGUCCGAGUUGUAAUUUAGAGAAGCGUUAUCCGCGUUGGACCGUGUACAAGUCUCCUGGAACGGAGCGUCAUAGAGGGUGAGAAUCCCGUCCAUGGCACGGACUACCAGUGCAUUGUGAUACGCUCUCGAAGAGUCGAGUUGUUUGGGAAUGCAGCUCUAAAUGGGUGGUAAAUUCCAUCUAAAGCUAAAUAUAGGCGAGAGACCGAUAGCGAACAAGUACCGUGAGGGAAAGAUGAAAAGAACUUUGGAAAGAGAGUUAAACAGUACGUGAAAUUGUUGAAAGGGAAACGCUUGAAGUCAGUCGCGUCGUUCAGGGAUCAGCCUUGCUCUGCUUGGUGUACUUCCUGUUCGACGGGUCAGCAUCAGUUUCGAUCGUUGGAAAAAGUGCGCAGGAAUGUGGCAUCUUCGGAUGUGUUAUAGCCUGUGUUCGUAUACAGCGGUUGGGACUGAGGAAUCAGCACUCGAUGCUUGGGAUGCUGGCAUAAUGGCUUUAAGCGACCCGUCUUGAAACACGGACCAAGGAGUCUAACAUGCCCGCGAGUGUUUGGGUGAAAAACCCGAGCGCGUAAUGAAAGUGAAAAGUUGGGAUCUCUGUCGUGGAGAGCACCGACGCCCGGACCAGAUGUUUUCGGACGGUUCUGCGGUAGAGCGUGUAUGUUGGGACCCGAAAGAUGGUGAACUAUGCCUGAAUAGGGCGAAGCCAGAGGAAACUCUGGUGGAGGCUCGUAGCGAUUCUGACGUGCAAAUCGAUCGUCGAAUUUGGGUAUAGGGG